RNAcentral lists this ribosomal RNA (439 nucleotides) under uncultured bacterium. RNAcentral's name for it is "bacterial SSU rRNA". It matches the Rfam family "Bacterial small subunit ribosomal RNA", at positions 29 to 515 of the family's 1533-position model. The record is from RNAcentral.
AACGAACGCUGGCGGCAGGCCUAACACAUGCAAGUCGAGCGCGCCUUCGGGUGAGCGGCGGACGGGUUAGUAACGCGUGGGAACGUGCCCUUCUCUACGGAAUAGCCUCUGGAAACGGAGAGUAAUACCGUAUACGCCCUUUGGGGGAAAGAUUUAUCGGAGAAGGAUCGGCCCGCGUUAGAUUAGGUAGUUGGUGGGGUAACGGCCUACCAAGCCUACGAUCUAUAGCUGGUUUUAGAGGAUGAUCAGCAACACUGGGACUGAGACACGGCCCAGACUCCUACGGGAGGCAGCAGUGGGGAAUCUUGCACAAUGGAGGAAACUCUGAUGCAGCGAUGCCGCGUGAGUGAAGAAGGCCUUUGGGUUGUAAAGCUCUUUCGUCGGGGAAGAAAAUGACUGUACCCGAAUAAGAAGGUCCGGCUAACUUCGUGCCAGCAGA